UACAUGCAAGUCGUACGAGGGCUUUUAGCCCUAGUGGCGGACGGGUGAGUAACACGUGAGAAUCUGCCCUUAGGAGGAGGAUAACAGCUGGAAACGGUUGCUAAUACUCCAUAUGCCGAGAGGUGAAAGGAAUUUCUGCCUAAGGAGGAGCUCGCGUCUGAUUAGCUAGUUGGUAGGGUAAAGGCCUACCAAGGCGACGAUCAGUAGCUGGUUUGAGAGGAUGAUCAGCCACACUGGGACUGAGACACGGCCCAGACUCCUACGGGAGGCAGCAGUAGGGAAUUUUCCGCAAUGGGCGAAAGCCUGACGGAGCAAUACCGCGUGAGGGAUGACGGCCUGUGGGUUGUAAACCUCUUUUCUCAAGGAAGAAGUUCUGACGGUACUUGAGGAAUAAGCAUCGGCUAACUCUGUGCCAGCAGCCGCGGUAAUACAGAGGAUGCAAGCGUUAUCCGGAAUCACUGGGCAUAAAGCGUCUGUAGGUGGUUUGGUAAGUCUGCUGUUAAAGACUG
This 509-nucleotide ribosomal RNA is filed under the name uncultured Cryptophyta. RNAcentral describes it as "bacterial SSU rRNA". It matches the Rfam family "Bacterial small subunit ribosomal RNA", at positions 52 to 604 of the family's 1533-position model. The record is from RNAcentral. Lineage: Eukaryota; Cryptophyceae.